AUUGAACGCUGGCGGCAGGCUUAACACAUGCAAGUCGAGCGGAAACGAUGGUAGCUUGCUACCAGGCGUCGAGCGGCGGACGGGUGAGUAAUACUUAGGAAUCUACCUAGUAGUGGGGGAUAGCUCGGGGAAACUCGAAUUAAUACCGCAUACGACCUACGGGAGAAAGGGGGCAGUUUACUGCUCUCGCUAUUAGAUGAGCCUAAGUCGGAUUAGCUAGAUGGUGGGGUAAAGGCCUACCAUGGCGACGAUCUGUAGCUGGUCUGAGAGGAUGAUCAGCCACACCGGGACUGAGACACGGCCCGGACUCCUACGGGAGGCAGCAGUGGGGAAUAUUGGGCAAUGGGGGAAACCCUGAUCCAGCCAUGCCGCGUGUGUGAAGAAGGCCUUUUGGUUGUAAAGCACUUUAAGCAGUGAAGAAGACUCCGUGGUUAAUACCCACGGACGAUGACAUUAGCUGCAGAAUAAGCACCGGCUAACUCUGUGCCAGCAGCCGCGGUAAUACAGAGGGUGCAAGCGUUAAUCGGAAUUACUGGGCGUAAAGGGAGCGUAGGUGGCUCGAUAAGUCAGAUGUGAAAUCCCCGGGCUCAACCUGGGAACUGCAUCUGAUACUGUUGAGCUAGAGUAUGUGAGAGGAAGGUAGAAUUCCAGGUGUAGCGGUGAAAUGCGUAGAGAUCUGGAGGAAUACCGAUGGCGAAGGCAGCCUUCUGGCAUAAUACUGACACUGAGGCUCGAAAGCGUGGGUAGCAAACAGG
This 755-nucleotide ribosomal RNA is filed under the name uncultured bacterium. Its description in RNAcentral is "bacterial SSU rRNA". It matches the Rfam family "Bacterial small subunit ribosomal RNA", at positions 28 to 776 of the family's 1533-position model. The record is from RNAcentral.